Molecule: long non-coding RNA, 9222 nt
Filed under: Phoenix dactylifera (date palm)
Lineage: Eukaryota; Viridiplantae; Streptophyta; Magnoliopsida; Arecales; Arecaceae
Description: long non-coding RNA (PDAC_LNC000805)
Source: RNAcentral
UUAGGUUACCAUGGGAUGUACGUCAAACAUACCGACAACAAAGCAAUACCAUAGCGCCUCUGGCACUAAUUGCAAGAAACUUCAAACUCAUACGCUUCCAGAGGAUAUUGCUUGUAUGGUUGCUCAAGGCCCUUAGGCAAGUCUAGAGCUCCUAAGGGUAUAUAAUAAAUCAGUUUUCUAUCAAGAAAUGAAGUCCAAUAGGGUGGACUUUUCUAUCUCAUUUUUACAUAGUUGUUUGCUGAUGCUUUUUCUAGCUACUUUAUUACAUAAAAUUGGCUUCUGUUUAGUCUUAGGCAGCACCUUUAUUUGAUGUUUUUGUGACUAUUCCAUUAUAUAAUGUUGGCUACAUAGAAUUCAAGUUUACAAUCUUUGCUGUCAUUUUCUCAAAUAAACAUUUGUUCGAUUAAUUUCAAAAGUGCCAUUUAAUAGCAAUGGAUAGCCCUGACUCCCCAUCACACCAUUUUUUGCAGGUAUCGAAAAGAUUGACAGUGAAAACAAGGAGAUGCAUACAGAUUUCAAUCAGUACCAAAUCUUCAUAGCUUCUUCACUCUUUGCAGUUUGAUAAAAAAUGGCUGUCACAUCUCCAUUUUGUCAAAAGAGUCAUUUCUUUGAAAAAGAAAUUUCCAAUAUUAUGAUGAAUUGUAAUGCUACUGUUAUUAUAUAGGUUAGGAAAUGUUAUUAUAUAGGUCGUCUUUGAACUUUAUCACUCUCGUCCUUCUUUACUCCAGAUAGUUCCAAUAUAUUAUCCAUGAAAGCAUGGUUCAAAGUUUCUUUUCAGUUUUCAGUUAAUCAUACCUCAAUGGCUAAGCCUUCCAUGACAUUGCUUGAAUCUUGAUAAGAGAUUUGACAUAUAAGAACGUGAUUACCAAAAGUCAGUCGGAAGAUACUUAGAAUAUAAACCCACUCCACCGUAAGUCCUUCAUAAUAAACACCUUUCUUCAUGCUUAUAACUACAUAAAUUUUCUACUUCCCAGUACAUAAUGGUUGGUCCAAAUUUGACAUUAUGUAACAACAUUGAGAAAGCUAAGAGUUUUAGGAGUUAUAAAGAUUUGCAAUUAUCCAACCAAAAACAGAAGGUGAAGAAGAAUCCACUAGGCUAACGCAUAAAAGCAACCAAUGUAUGCAGGGACUUGGCUGUAUCUUUUGUGUGAAACAAGGAUUCAUCUUCCUUCAUGCGAAUCCACUGCUGGCUUUGAGAUCUGUGCGGGAAGAUGAAUGAUAGAGUUCAAAGCGCUUUGAGAUCUGUGCAGUGGAUGAUCCAACAGCAGAUUCAAGCAAAGGAAGGUGAAUCCUUCUUUCGUGCAAAAGAUACAACACAAAUCCUGCAUCCAGACCCUUUGAAACAGGUUCAUUAUAAGAAAUAUGCCAAGAGAAAAUAUUUCAUUUUUUAGCACUUCGAAAAAAAUCGUAAGAGAGGAGCUUACAUUAACGAACAAGGCACCCAACUGAAAAGAACAGAGGGGACAAAAGGAAUUUUUAAGCCAAUCACAUAUCAAUGGGAUAAGGUUCUUUGCUUGUAGGUAAGAUCAUGGUUUGUAAAGCAUUUCCAAACAGCUAUCACAUUUCAUGCACGCUUGCAGCAACAAUUUGUUGGUAAAAUUUACGAAUAUGCUCUGGCAGUUGUUUGGAGGAAAGAAAAGGGCGGUCUCGUCUUUCUCUGUAUGCUGCAGAAGCAACUGCGGCAAGCAUGCAGCAGCAAUAUGUUGACUUGCUAACUAAUAUAGUAAAACAGGAAAUCUAAGGUUUUAAUAGCACUGCUGAAAAAGAAUCACAAAUAUAUGAUCACUAAUAACACAUACCACACUAUCCUUCUAAGCAUGAAUCAGCACACAAUAACAAUGAUUCAAACGGCAGAUUUGUUAUGAUAUUUGAUUAUUUUCCAUAUGGCAAGAAUUAAGAGAAUAAACUUCAGGGAAUUUCUUCUUCUAAAAAGAAAUAUCAAAACGAAAAAUCAAGACAAUGAGUUCUAAAUGCUAGGUAAAUGAUAUGAAGAUUCAGUUUGAACUAUGAGAUAUCAAAACAAGUUUGGUUAGCGAGGGUCUAAGAUUGCUUAUUGAAAAUAAUCUCAACACUCGAACAAAUGGAUCAAAACAUGCUUGAUACUGUCCAGUGUUACCAUAUGAUAUGUGCAAGGUGCUUCAAGUGUAAUAUAACAGAAUGUUUCACAUCAAAUCUGGAUUUGAUUUGAAAAAGAUUGUGCAAGAAAUAUUUAAGAUAUGCAUCCCAGAAAGUUAUAGUCACAUAAUAUGGAAGCACAGAAAAAUGUGCAAGGCAUGACUUUUAGAUAAGCCCUUAAAUUUCACUUGAAGUAGCCUCUCCAAUAAGCCUCAAGGAAUUGUUUAGGUGUCAUUACACAAGAACAAGACAAGUCUUAGUUAAGGGUUUUCCAAUAGCUUAACAUUAUCCGGAACAAUUUAGAAGCUCAAUUUUCAUAAAAUAAAGAAAAAACAAGACUUUGCUUUCCCGUUAACCGAAAAUGGAUAAAUUUAUUUGGAAAAAAAUUGUACAUAAUCAAUAGAAGAGUCCGGAACAUACAUUCAAUUUUAUCAUCAAUUGGAGCAUUUGGAUGGAAGACCGAGAGAGCACGUGCAAACUCUUCAAAUCCUAGAAUUCCAUUGUGAUUUGUGUCAAACAAGUCAAAUACCUGCAAGGUUUGAAGCAUGUGACCUUUAUAAACAGAUUUGCCACCAAAGCAGCAAAUCACCUGGAUAUUUCUAAAAGUCUGGUUCUAGGAGCUAAUUAAGGAGGCUCAAAGUACAAAAAAGUUUUGUUUUAAAAAAAAAAUUUCAUUAAACACAUUUUUCAUCAUAAGAGCAAAUUAUCUGAAUUUUUUUAUAAUUUCCUGCUUCUACGCAUUAACAAAAGAGGCUAAGUACAAAUUGGCUGUGUCUAGAGGAAAACCCAUAGUCAAGCAUACAUACAAAUUUUGAGUUACUUAUAACCAUGGUUUGCCGUAUCGGUACGUACCGGUCCAGUACCGGAUCAGCGUGGAAUCCAGUACCGGUAGUUUAUUAUUGGAGAAUCGGUAUGGAACCGGUACGGACCCGGUUCGAAUUGGUACGGAACCGGUUCGGACCGGUACGCGACUGGUACGGAAUCGGUUCAUACCGGUCCGGGCCGCCACCGGUACGCCGACCGGUAUCGGUACGGCGGACCUUGCUUAUAACCAUCAUAACCAACAGACUUAUCACACUUGAACUUCUCUAAUUUGUAUGGGUGAAAGUGGAUCGGAUAAUAUCCGUCCGGAUCUAUUUUCGUAUCUGAAUCUAUUUGAAUAUGGAUAGAAAUUUGAGCAUCUGACUAAUAUCCGUAUCUGUAUCCAUAUCCGUCACAACUAUCCGAUCCGUAUCCGAAUAUCCGAUUACAUUUAUAACUCUAUUUGAUUUUAUAUGGCACUCAUGAACUUUAAGAAAAAUAAAUAACCAUAUUAACAUGUUAUUAACUUGAUUUAUCACCUACUUAGUAAUAUCUUUGAUUAUGUGGCAAUAAAAUUUGAUUAUCCGAUUUAUAUCUGUAUUUAUAUCCAUACUUUCGGUAUUCGAUUUGUAUCCAUAUCUGUUUAAAAUAAAUAUAGAUAUGAAUUUUUGCAUCCGACAAACAUCCAUAUCCGUCUCUGUAUUCAUCAAACAAAACAAAUAUGGAUAUGGAUAUGCUAGUAUCCUAUCCGUAUCCGAUCUGAUUUCAACCUUACUAAUUAGCAUGGUUCGCAACACUGAUUUCGGAACCCAUACUAGUACCAUGCUGGUACAAUGCUGAUAUAGGUUGAUUCAUGGUACUAACACUCAGUACAUCCUUAUACUGAGUAUUGGUUCGCUAAUGGUAUGGUACAGUAAUACCGACGAUAUGGUUUGAUAUGGUGACCACAUAACGAAUUUGUAAUACAAAAAAUCGUCAAGUAAAUUAAAUUAUCAAUUCCAUCUUUGUGAAAACCAACCAAACUUUAAAAAAGGAGCUUGAAGAUAUCCCACUAAUGGUAAAAGAAGGAUAGGUGUAAUUGGAAAAAGAAGACCUAGUGUCAGCAAUGCAUAUAAUCGCACUUUUAUAGUUUAUUAACGAAGUUCUUCAUCUAUAUAUUAUAUAUGAAAUAUUAAGGACAAAAACCAUUCGGCAAGUUUGUGCACUUUCCAUCACAAUCAUAGGCAUAACGUAACAAGGGUGGGGAAAAAACAUCUUUCUCAUCUCCAAAGCGAAAACACAACCGGAUGCCUAGUCUUAGGCAGGUUUGUAACCACCAUACUUAGGUUCCAACAACCUAGGUCGUUGCUAUAUAUGGUUAAACCUCCUAGCUUAAACACAAGCUGCCCACCUAGACCUAGGCACGUUAGGUUUAGGACUAUAUUCUGGGGCAAGCCAAGGGCAUUAUGUAGAUCAAGAGUGUGGAUCAUAACAUCUCCUAGCUCUCUUAUUGGAUAUAACACCUUAUCUCAACUUACAGCUUAGAAAUUUUUCUAGGUCUGAGUUAGUUGUUUAUUCCCAACUUUCAAUCGAUUUUUUGUUAAAGAAAAUUGGUAGAGCUGAUUGUUGCAUUAAAUUGGAUUGUUUGAACAUCCUUCGUAAAAAUAAAGAAUUUGUCAUUAUGCUAGUUAACAUGCCAUAAUGUAAAUAAUCUAGUUCUGCAAGUAAAAAUAAAAGUUUUUAUGUUAAUUUACCCUUUUUUAUCUUUUUGUCUGUCUUAUUUCUAAUCUUCUAGUCUAUAUAUCUGUGAAUUUUAAUUUUUUUAAUAUUUUGAUAUAAGCCUUACUGUUUACACAAUCUGUAGCCUUCCACCAAAGUGCUAUGCAGACUCAUGGCCACCACAUACUGGAGCUACCCUGUCGAAAUUAACCAUAACCAUCUACACAAGGCAGCUAUCUUUUAUGACAUUAAAAGGGAACACCAUGUAUGGAAUAGACGCUAAAGAGACAUAUGAUGCCAUAUGCCCGAGGCCACAGCCUAUAAGUCAGAUAUUUAAUAAGGGAAGAGAGUAAAUUCCAGACAUUCAAGAUGAUUCUAUAACCAUUUCUAAAAUGUUCUGAUCAAGCAAUAUCAAUCAUACACUUCAUAUUCUCCUGAUGGGAUCGUUUUUUCUUGAGAGAAAAUGGGCCAGAACCCAAAUAUUCUCUUGACAGUAAUGUACCAUGAAUUUGAAAAAAAAUGAUUUGUACUAGAUAGUUUAUCAACACAGCUAUGAUAACCUAGCUUCAUUUCAUCUCAGUGGUCUAUAAGUUUGCGCAUAAACAUAUUCCUUGAAUCAAGAUUUUAACAGCUAAAAGAUUAACUAAGUUUUAAUUCGCUUCUUUAAAGGAAUGAACAUAUAUAAUGCUUCCAGAAAAGGUUAGUUUCCAUAAGAAAGAUACCCGGUCAGCAAAUAAGCUCUCCUUCUUGUUAGUCUUGAAUAAAGCCAAUUGGAAUUCCUCCUGCAGGAUCAUUAAUAAAACAACUCAACUAAUAGAAAUAUAAAGUACAUCACGAAAGAUGAUAAACUAAGAACCCACACAAAAAGGGGGGAAAAUCUUAACAUGGCCCCAACUUUAAAAGGGCCCAAAUUUCAAUCACUGCCAUGGCAGAAGAAUUUGACAUCACACAUAGCAAUGGUGAAAACAUAUUUUGCAUAAAUUAAUAUUAUAUAAUCACAUCAUAUAAUAUAGACCAAUAGCAGCAGUAUUGUAAGCUUUCGCUCCAUAUAAGAUUAAGCACUAAAUUUUUGAACUACUGAUUCCACAAAAAAUGGAUGCAUAAGCAUUAUUUUAUCUUUGUGUAUCAAAUGAAGUGUCUUACCUUGUUGAUCAGCCCGUCAUCAAUCACAGCACUACUGAUCUUUUUAAAAAGCUCGUAUAAUGCUUCUAUUUCACUUACACUGACUGUAAAUAAAGUAUGCAAGUGGAGUCAAUUUCAUCUGGUUUUGCUCAAUAAAUAGCUGUGUAUAAAAAGCAAAAGACUAUGAUAUUCAAAAAAGAAAACUGUAUAAAGAUCAAACAGCAAAUCUUCCCCCAAGUAAAGCUUUUUUCAGAUUCACUAACAACAGGUGCGAGAUAAGCAAGCAUACAUCCUCCCCAGUAGUCAAUACCAUGAAGAAAUUAGAAGGUAAUAGUUGACAUACACACUGUUUCCCUGGCUAAACGUUCAGGAUCCUGAAGUCCUUUUGUCUGCUUGUACAAAUCAAUAUCACAGCACUUUAACAGUAAAGCAAAUAAAUGCUUGAACGCCUCUAGGCACUGCAACAUGAUAUUCCUUGCUCAUCAACACACUCCAUACCUGCACUUUAAAGAAAUAAGUUAAAACUUCCAAACAAAUUAGAAUUCGAACUACAGCCUUAUUGGGACAACCUUUGAACCAUUUAUGUCUUCUUCCAACCCAAGCCCAAAUGCAAAGGAUCAUAGAAUGUAAAGUGCAGCCCAGAACUCUAUCUGAAAGGUAAAAACUCAAUCAUUGGCUGAGCUAAUUGAAAGAAUCAGAUGCUAUGUAGAAUUGCAAUAACAUGUAUCAUAUACCACAUCUGGAAUGCAUGGAAAAUGAAUAUCAAACUAAUUAUUUUAAGUUUUAAAACUCAAAUGAGCCAGGGAAGUAAUCCUUCAAAAGAAUGAACAAAGAAGGAUCUCAUAGACCAAACUAGAUGAAUUUAAUGCAACACUAAUGUGUUAAAGGAAUCCAUGAGAUGAUUCAGGGAAAAAUCAACUUGUUAAGGUAAUCCGUCUCUGUAGUACACUGAUGCAAAGAUAUUUAGACACAGAAAACUGCACAAUAUGCCUAAAGAGAAGGUGGUGGUCAUAAUUCCAGAGAAUUCUAACAUCAAAACUCAAUUCUUCCCUCACAAGUACCGGUGCACUUUCCAAGUCAAGAUUUUUUUGCCACAAAUGAUUCACGAAAACAUUCUACCUGUUGCAUACCCUCCUCAAUUUCCUUCCGAAUCCGUCAAAAGCUAUUCCGACCUCUUUCUCUACAAACUCAUCAAUCUAUAAGCUCCAGAGAUCAAACAAACUUUGGGGAUUCUACGCCGAAUAUUCAAUCGAACCCUAGAUUACACUGAGACAAUAAACGUGUGAGCCAAAUAUAGGUUCACGACAUUUCCUCACCAAAUAAAAAAUCAAGAAUAUCAUCAGAAAACCGCCCAAAAUUUUAUUUUCCGAUCAAAAUCGAUCAAGCAACGUAAAGACAUGACGCAAGAAUUCAAAUCCAAGAUAAAUCUAGCUACCAAAAAAAAAUCCAAGGUAAAUCUACGACUCUUCUCAACUCCGAUCUCCCCGAUGAGAGAGGAACCACCGCUCAAUCAGGACGAACCAGGGUACCAGGGAAUCCAAGAAACAAGGGGAAGGGGGGAGAGAGAGAGAGAGAGAGAUUACCAGUAGGAGAGAAGGAUCCUUGGGACAAAGGAGGAGCCGAGAUUCUCCAUCUAUGCCUUCGAAUCGCCCCGAAGCAAACUUCUUUACCUAUUUAUGUUUUUUUUCGGGUUUUGUUUAUUUUUGCGUGUUUUCUAUUUUGAGUAUUGAUUGGCUCGUGAUGAGUGGGAUAAAUAGCAGUUGCCGUCAAGGUGAACUGGCAGCUGAGAAUAUUUUAAAAUAUUUGAAACGAAAAAGUUUGGAUCUGGUCACCGCCUCGGUGGCCUAAGCUUCAUCACCUAACCCAGCGAAACCGAAACAGGCGGGCCAUCUUUGGACCCGCACAGGUCCAGUGCACCAAGGCCCGGCCCGUCUAAAGAACCUCGCAUAAAAGUUCCAUGAUCUAAUGCCGUUAGAAGGUAUCAUAGUUGGUCUUAACACGAAUUACACGUAUCAUAUCCAAAUUUGUUAAUAUUCAGAAAAAUAUUUUACUCAACAUCCUUUGCGAAUCAUUCACUAAAAUUUGCAAAAAUUUCAAAUUGAUGUGAAAGGACACGUAUAAAACGUUUUAUACAUUGUAUAUAUGUAUGAAAAUGAGAAGAGUUUUGGAGGAGGGAUUCGAAGUCAUAUAUUCAUGAUUGCAUCACAGGGAAUUAGUCGGCUUAGAAGCCACUUAUAUUUCUUAAGAGUGGCAAUUGAUUUAGAUCCGGUUAGAUAUGGAUCGAGUUGGAUACUAGUUGGAUCAAAAAUUUAUCAAUUUGAACUUAACUUGUUUAUUAAAUAGGUCAGAAAUUCUGAUCUGAGUUCGAUCUAUUUAUUGAACGGGUUACCUAACUUGACCCACAUGGUCUGCUUAUUAAAUAGCUUAAACAUGAUAGAAAUGAAUUAAGAAGAUUUUAAAUAGAUCUUAGGUAGGUUAAAUCGGUCGGGUUAUGACCCGACUCAAUUAUUAAAUUAGUCGAAGAUCAAAAUCUAAACCCAAUUCAUUUAAUAUAAAUUUAGACAAAUUAAUCUGUUUUUGGCCCAAACUUAUUUACGUGAAAUCCGAACUUAAAAUAUUUGCUGGUCGAAUUGAUGGAGGAUUUGUUCGUAAGUUACCACCCUCAAUAUUUUUUAUAUAUUAAAUAGGGUCAAAUAAAAUAACAUAAUAGAUUUGAUUUUAAAAGAACAAAAGAUCUCUUUUGAUUUUAAUAGAGAUAUAGAUUUAUAAGCAUGUCCUUCCUGGCUUCAGCCAUCCAAACGGUAUACAACAUUUGCAAUUAAUAUUUUUCCGUAGGAACCAGAAAUCCCACAGUAUUGAGAUCAAUACCACCCUUUCCAAGAACAACCUUAAUCUUUCUCUUCAUUAUUUUCUACUGACGGAGCAAAACUUGAUGGUGACUGACAAUUCAGCAAUUUUCAGCAAUAAAUAAAUUCUGCCGAUGGCAAAUUGAAGAAAAACAGCUUGCAACUACUGCAUGGCAAAAUGAUCAUAAAACAGGAUUUUGAUAUGAUCUACACUGUAGUCAUUAGAUGAUUGGAUUUCAGAGGGCAACAGAAAAUUAUCUCCCUUACCUUUUAGUCAAAAAUAAACUGCAAAAGCUCAUAAACAUCAAUUCUUAGAAGCAUAGAUGGGCUACUGUAGAACCCAUUCUUGAGCAACGGGUCAGAUCAUGUCGCUCCUCAUUAACCUUUCGAUGUCUCAUUUGUUUGCUCUGCUGUGAAGACCUUUACAGCUCCAGAUCACUGAAUUCCAGGAUACAUAAGUAUUUCAGGAUUGAGUACCAACACUCAAUCCUGGCAAUUGAGGCAUCUAACCAUAUCCAAAAUAAAAUAUAGAACAAGAAAUACAUAUAUAAUUUGGAAGGCAAGACUUCUUGCAGCAUGCACAACAGCAAACUAACCCAUUAGAGAACAAAUAUGCAUGUUCUAAUUUUCAGUUCAAAAU